CUGGCUCAGGACAAACGCUGGCGGCGUGCCUAACACAUGCAAGUCGAACGAAGCACAUCGGAAAGAGACUCGGUCAAUGGAAAAUGUGACUUAGUGGCGGACGGGUGAGUAAUGCAUGAGCAACCUGCCCUGGAGAGGGGGACAACAGCUGGAAACGGCUGCUAAUACCGCAUAAUACUGCGGAGAGGCAUCUCUCUGCAGUCAAAAGAUUUAUCGCUCUGGGAUGGGCUCAUGUCUGAUUAGUUAGUUGGCGGGGCAACGGCCCACCAAGACUACGAUCAGUAGCCGGACUGAGAGGUUGAACGGCCACAUUGGGACUGAGAUACGGCCCAGACUCCUACGGGAGGCAGCAGUGGGGAAUAUUGGGCAAUGGGCGCAAACGCCUGACCCAGCAACGCCGCGUGAAGGAAGAAGGCUUUCGGGUUGUAAACUUCUUUUAUCAGGGACGAAGGAUGUGACGGUACCUGAUGAAUAAGCCACGGCUAACUACGUGCCAGCCGCCGC
RNAcentral lists this ribosomal RNA (504 nucleotides) under uncultured bacterium. RNAcentral describes it as "bacterial SSU rRNA". It matches the Rfam family "Bacterial small subunit ribosomal RNA", at positions 19 to 518 of the family's 1533-position model. The record is from RNAcentral.